Molecule: ribosomal RNA, 274 nt
Filed under: uncultured bacterium
Lineage: Bacteria
Description: partial 16S ribosomal RNA
Rfam family: Bacterial small subunit ribosomal RNA
Source: RNAcentral
AUACGGAGGGUCCGAGCGUUAUCCGGAAUCAUUGGGUUUAAAGGGUCCGUAGGCGGGAAUCUAAGUCAGUGGUGAAAUCUUGCAGCUCAACUGUAAAAUUGCCUUUGAUACUGGGUUUCUUGAAUUAGUGUGAAGUGGUUAGAAUGUGUAGUGUAGCGGUGAAAUGCAUAGAUAUUACACAGAAUACCAAUUGCGAAGGCAGAUCACUAACACUAUAUUGACGCUGAGGGACGAAAGCGUGGGGAGCGAACAGGAUUAGAAACCCUAGUAGUCC